This 260-nucleotide unclassified non-coding RNA is filed under the name uncultured fungus. RNAcentral describes it as "partial contains small subunit ribosomal RNA, internal transcribed spacer 1, and 5.8S ribosomal RNA". The stretch from base 1 to 73 matches the Rfam family "Eukaryotic small subunit ribosomal RNA", at positions 1759 to 1831 of the family's 1831-position model. Lineage: Eukaryota; Fungi. The record is from RNAcentral.
ACAAACUUGGUCAUUUAGAGGAAGUAAAAGUCGUAACAAGGUUUCCGUAGGUGAACCUGCGGAAGGAUCAUUACCGAUUUACAGCGGGCUUCGGCCCUCGCUGCACCCUUGUCUUUGCGUACCUACCGUUUCCUCGGCGGGCUUGCCUGCCGAUAGGACACUGUAAAACCACUUGUAAUUGCAAUCAGCGUCAGAAAAUAACAAUAGUUACAACUUUCAACAACGGAUCUCUUGGUUCUGGCAUCGAUGAAGAACGCAGC